GCCAGGCAUGGUGGUGCAUGCCUAUAAUCCUAGCAACUAGGGAGGCUGAGGAAGGAGAUCUUGAGUUCAAAGCCAGUCUCAGCAAAAGCAAGGCACUAAGUAACUCAAUGAGACCCUGUCUCUA
Molecule: small RNA, 124 nt
Filed under: Marmota monax (woodchuck)
Lineage: Eukaryota; Metazoa; Chordata; Mammalia; Rodentia; Sciuridae
Source: RNAcentral